AGUCAUGGCUCAUUUCCAGAAAGGAAAAGAGAACAGUGAUUAUGAAGAACAGACAGGACACAAUAAAAGGUUGAGGAGCUGAACACAACACAUGAGUUAGAGGAAAACAUAUUAUUUAAUUCUGAAAUGGUGUAAUAAACCAACUUCUCAUGGACUGGAGAUAACAAAGGGAGGUGGCAAGACCCCCCCACAGUACAGAAGAAACAGAAGAGUGAAAUGUGUGAUAAGAGUGAAAAAUAUUUCCCCUGGAGUAACAUCACUACUUCCUCUGCUCAGAACAAGUAACAUGAAGCACCUGGAGACAACUGUACAUCUCUUCUAAUAAAUAAGAAGUUUGAAUCUAAAGUCAGUUUUCUGCAAAGGACAUGCAAGUGGUUAUCUGCAAGGAGAAGAACUGCAUCCUCAUUCCUCUGUGCUAUAGAAAAAACAUGAAGACACUCCUCAUGAAUUGUAUAAAGGCUUGCACUCCACUCCCAUGUCUUGGGACCACUGGCUUUUUUCAGCACGGUGUGCGGUAUAUAAGAGAUUACACAACACAGUCUCAGUGCAGGGGGCAGAGCAGGGGCUGUCUUGGGGUUAGAGUCCAAGUGAAAGAGAUCAUCCUAUAUUCCUCCUCCUUUUUGGACGCCUUCUGCAUUCAAACCUAUUUCUCAUGGAUAUUUCAUCUUGGAUCUUUGCUGUUCUUACUUCACCCUGUGUCCUCCUAGUCUUUACUGGCCUCUAUCUGCAUGACUGCAUCUUUAGACUGAAGAAUUCAAUCUUGCUUUUAUUUUGUAGGUGGGGAUAAUAGUGGUUUUAUUGCCAUCAAUUACAAUGACAUAACUGAACAGUGACUCGUUGGUGCACCAGAAACCUGCUUUAAAUUUAAUUAAUAUUCUCCUCCCUUCUGUUUUCUAUUGCUUAGUCUUUAUUCUUAGACUUCUGACUUCCUCCAGAAUUAUUCAUGCUGCUUUGUUGUGUGUUCCCCUCUCUUGCCCUUUGUCAUAUCCAGGGUUCACAUAAAACCUCUGAGGAGUUGCAGGCCAUCCACAGGGACUGUAACUGGGAUCUGCACAGACAAAAGGCUGCUGGUGUUUUGGUUUUCCUCCUGUCUUCUCCCCAGCUAAGUAUGGGAAGGCAAAUGUCAUGCUCUGCUGGGCAGCCGGGAGUCAGGUGCAGGAGCCAGGGAGGCACUGGUGGGGGACUUGGAGCUGGGGCUGACAGGAAUCCCAGCACUUUAUUUUAAAACAGCAUUCAACAGGGAAAUAUGUCAGGAUGGCUAGGACACCAGUGUCUCCCUUGUAAACUGGAAAAUGAGAGAGGCUAGUGGCCAUAGUAAUCAAGGUGAUAGAGUUGGAGCUUAAGUGGUUGCCAGAUUUUCUUAGCUAUUAAUGAAAUGCAUUAAGGUACUGUUGUUCAAAUGAUAGUUCAUGUUUCUGUAAAUGAUUUUUGUCCUAAAGCUUGUUAGCUGUUGUGCUCUCCUUUCUUUCGGUAGUUUGUCUCUGCGUGUAAUGUAUAUUUACAGACUGUGUUUAUAGUUAACAGGCUUUUCUAGAGGAAAUAAGCAUGACAUAUUCACAAGAAUUUGCAACUAUUCAAAGCCAGCUCUAAAUGUGCAAAACACCAGCUCUGGUGAAUAAUUAUGGUCACCUCCAACCCCGUUGCUUCAAAGAUACGAAGUGAGGAAAGAGCAUUUUGAGCAAGCCAUACACUGUGUCACGGCAACAUGACUCAGAGCUGAGAUGCUGGGAAGGAGAAAAGGUUUUCUUAAGCAGAAGAUGUGUUUCAGCCUUAUGAGUAUUCACUUAUGUCUCCUUCUGACUUACCUCUUACCCUGUGUUGCCAGCCAUGGAGUUUGGCUUGCAGGGAGGGCAGUGUUUGCAGCAUCUCUUGCCUGGAGAUUGUACUGGUGUCUGGUCUGAACAGAUUGACUCUAAGAUACUUGCUUCCAUAGAGAGGUCAUCUGGGAACAAGGGGUCUGUCUUGCUCUAAAUUGCUCCUAAGGAGAGUGUAAGGCUCCCCAAGGCGAAAGACACUGGUCAGUGUAUGGGUUGCAAGGAAGAACCUCAUCUAGAUGGACAGCCAUCCUCUAGACACACACCUAUGAAAGGCAUCCAUGUGUGUUUGAUUUCCUAAUACCUAAGUGAUGGCAUUAUCUUUACUGCCUUUGUCCUUCAGAAAGCCUGUUGGGACAUUAGUGUCUUGCAGUCCCAAGGCUUGAUCAACUACAGCUCAGAUAUGAUUUAUCAAAUGCUGCACAAGGUAUGUCUGUGCAGCAGAGUGCAGUGCUCUAUAGAAAGAAACACAUCCAGCUCUGGUACAUCUUUGGCUUUCAUCCCCACAGUAGAGCUAUUGAACUGGAAAAUGACUUUUAAUGGUGUCCUCUCUGUGUAUGUGUGUCUCUUUCCAACAGUGCCAGUAGAUGUUCCCAGUGUUCAUGGAUCUGCAGAUCUUCCUAGCAUGGAUGUCCACAACCUCCUGCAUCCUUCAAACUGUCCUCAGAUGUAUAGUAAGGGACCAUUUCUGUCUUCCAGAAGCUUAUUGUGUGUGUAUCUUGCUGAAUUCAUCAGGAUUUACUGUAGGAAGUGUAAUAACAUUAAAACAGUAUUUGGGCAUUUCUGAAUGUGGGCCAUUUGAACCUGGACCUGGAAAGCAGACAUCAUUUCCUUACAGGACCAUUUCUAAGGAGUUGUGUUCUCAGAAAUGUUUUUUCCUGGGAACGCACAUAAUUUGUGAGUUAUUCAGCUAUCAAGGUAGUUUUUCUAAGACUGUAACUAUUUGCGUCAAGCAAUGGUAAUUUGUUCUUCUCUAGCUGAUUGGAUCUGUUGUCUUCCAGUGCUUGUGCUCACCCCCAUUCAUUCAUACUGUGUUAUAGGCCUGUUUCUGGAGGACGCUGAGUACCUGCGGUUUGAUUGAAAGUUAUUGCAUCUCUCAGGAGUAAAUUUAAUUUGAACGAUACCCUCUAUAACCCAGUAUGAUAUGAUGCAUUAGAAAAUAAAGCAAUAACAGAGUAUCUACAAGCCAUUUUUCCAAUCUGAUUUGAGGAAAAGAAAUUGUAGCAGAGAAAACCUCAGAAAUAAACUGUUUUUUGUUCUUUAGCUAAUAUAGAAGUUCCUUGAAUCCUGAAAACUAAAAAGAAAGAGAGAAAAAAAAAGAAAAUUAGGCAUUGGUCAUAAACAGCCCUCUGUCAGCUGUUAGCAACUGGGAUUGGUGUUUUGUUACCAACGUUAUUUCAGGUAAAUGAGAAGGCAGAAUUGUAAACAAAGGAAAAUGUUCAAUCCCUGAAGUGAAACGUGGGCUGACAUCUAGCAUUUAUAGCUUGGUACAUUCUCAUUAAUCUAUUCUGUUAAAUAUUUCUUUUCUUUAACACUGACUAAAAAAGAAUACUAAUUUAACAUUUCUCUGCUGUUUCUAAGUGUUAUGUUAUAUUUGAGAGUUUACUUGCUAAUAUAUUUUUCUUUCCAAAGAGCUCAUGCAGUCUUCACUUGGAUCAUGCCGUGGAAAAGAAUCACUGCAUUUCUUAAACUAUUAACAAAUACUUUAAGUGAUGAAAACCCACCGAAGCCAGUAGGAAACACAAUCCAGCAAUUACACAGCAGCAGCAACCUGGCUUUUUUUCUGAUUUCGAGUCAGUGGAAGAGUAGUAGUCAUUGUAAUUAUGUCUUUAAAAAAUACUUAAUAAUGUUUGCUUGUUUCUGACAUACCUGAAGACUUGUCCGCAGAGUCUGAUGCUAAAAAAACCCUGUAUACUCCAAUAAAAUGUAUUGUCAACCUCAGAUUCAUAUAAAACAUUUUUAAUGAUGUACUGGUAUUGUUUUGGCCACAGUGUUUAUAUCAAAAAGGACAUGGGGAUGAAGAGAGUACUACUUAGAACUUAGUGUAAAGAUGCAGUAGAAAGACUUACAGUUGUAUCCAUAAUUUUUGAGAUUUGUUACUCAGCUCAGUCCUGUUGAAGCACUGACAGAAAUUCCUUUGUUCUCAACAUGAUCCAGCCUGUGUGUCCCUUUUCAGUUUAUGUCUGGACUGGUAGAAAAUCAUGAUUAUGAAAUUUUUAUAGUAAAGCUGUUGUAUACAUGGUAUUUACUGCAAAAUCCAAGUCUUGUAAGACAAUAGGAUUCAAAAGGUUCAAAGCUAGGUUUUCAACUGUUAUUUCAGGGUCAGAUUUUCAAAAGAUUUUAAAAGUCAAUGUUGCAGAAGUGGUGGGGAAAUAUGGCCUUAGCCUGGCACACUAAGAUCUUUUAUACCCUGGUCUAGCUGGACUGAGGACCAACAGUACUAAGAUCUGUUAAGUGGGCUGUGUCACUAACAAUGAUGUAUUCUGCUAUCUACUGAAAGAACUGAUUUUCAUACUUCAUUUACAGUUAGCACUUAUGUAAUGGCUGUAAAUUUUUGGAUGAGAUAUUGCUGAAAAUAACUUUUAUUUUCUAACCAUUUAUCUUUUGAGAAAUUUUAAUAAACUA
Long non-coding RNA from Falco peregrinus (peregrine falcon), 4439 nucleotides. RefSeq lists it as uncharacterized. NCBI's taxonomy places the organism in Eukaryota, Metazoa, Chordata, Aves, Falconiformes, Falconidae. The transcript is spliced from 5 exons. The record is from RefSeq and is a predicted model, not a curated record.